This 413-nucleotide ribosomal RNA is filed under the name uncultured Verrucomicrobiaceae bacterium. RNAcentral's name for it is "partial 16S ribosomal RNA". It matches the Rfam family "Bacterial small subunit ribosomal RNA", at positions 355 to 774 of the family's 1533-position model. The record is from RNAcentral. Lineage: Bacteria; Pseudomonadati; Verrucomicrobiota; Verrucomicrobiia; Verrucomicrobiales; Verrucomicrobiaceae.
UCGAGAAUCUUUCACAAUGGGGGAAACCCUGAUGGAGCGACGCCGCGUGGAGGUUAAGGUCUUCGGAUUGUAAACUCCUGUCAUGCGAGAACAAAGCCCGCAAGGGUGUGAUAGUACCGCAAGAGGAAGAGACGGCUAACUCUGUGCCAGCAGCCGCGGUAAUACAGAGGUCUCAAGCGUUGUUCGGAAUUACUGGGCGUAAAGGGUGCGCAGGCCGCGCGGGCAGUCAAAUGUGUAAUUCAGAGGCUCAACCUCUGGACUGCGCUUGAUACUUCCGUGCUCGAACCUUGGAGAGGGAUCUGGAAUUCUCGGUGUAGCAGUGAAAUGCGUGGAUAUCGAGAAGAACACCUAGGGCGAAAGCAAGAUCCUGGACAAGUGUUGACGCUCAUGCACGAAGGCUAGGGGAGCGAACG